GGUUAAGCGACUAAGCGUACACGGUGGAUGCCCUGGCAGUCAGAGGCGAUGAAGGGCGUGCUAAUCUGCGAUAAGCGCCGGUAAGGUGAUAUGAACCGUUAUAACCGGCGAUACCCGAAUGGGGAAACCCAGUGUGAUUCGUCACACUAUCAUUAACUGAAUCCAUAGGUUAAUGAGGCGAACCGGGGGAACUGAAACAUCUAAGUACCCCGAGGAAAAGAAAUCAACCGAGAUUCCCCCAGUAGCG
Molecule: ribosomal RNA, 247 nt
Filed under: Salmonella enterica
Lineage: Bacteria; Pseudomonadati; Pseudomonadota; Gammaproteobacteria; Enterobacterales; Enterobacteriaceae
Description: partial 23S ribosomal RNA
Rfam family: Bacterial large subunit ribosomal RNA
Source: RNAcentral